GUAGCCGUCUGCAGGGCCCCAGCUAAGCAGCCCGCGGAGAGCGAGCGGCGCGUGCGCCCCCGCUGAUUGGCUGGCACAACCGGCACCGGAGCCAAUGGGAGCACGCCUUGUUGUCAGGCGCGCAGCCGGACGGCGCGGUGGUCGGGACAGACUGGCCGUUGCUGUGGAGACGCCUG
This 176-nucleotide unclassified non-coding RNA is filed under the name Homo sapiens (human). RNAcentral describes it as "calcineurin binding protein 1 (ENSG00000281670.1)". The record is from RNAcentral. Lineage: Eukaryota; Metazoa; Chordata; Mammalia; Primates; Hominidae.